Molecule: long non-coding RNA, 228 nt
Organism: Trichomycterus rosablanca
Lineage: Eukaryota; Metazoa; Chordata; Actinopteri; Siluriformes; Trichomycteridae
Exons: 3
Source: RefSeq, a predicted model, not a curated record
AGCCAGAUUCUUCCCUCUAUCAUUACUUCCAUGAUCCUUCUGAACUCUCGAACUUUCGAUCUCGUCUGCUGUGCUGGUACGAUCAGAAGAAGAGAGAUCUGCCCUGGCGCAGACUGGCGGCGACGGAGGAGGACGCAGACGUCAGGACCUACGCGGUGUGGGUGUCGGAGGUGAUGCUGCAGCAGACUCAGGUGGCCACAGUCAUCGAUUACUACAACAGAUGGAUGA